Long non-coding RNA from Cyprinus carpio (common carp), 316 nucleotides. RefSeq lists it as uncharacterized. The record is from RefSeq and is a predicted model, not a curated record. NCBI's taxonomy places the organism in Eukaryota, Metazoa, Chordata, Actinopteri, Cypriniformes, Cyprinidae. The transcript has 3 exons.
AAAGAGAACUACAACUCUGCUGUUGAUCGCCUCCAGAUUGACAAUACACCAGACGUCGAAGGAGUGAAGUUCAGACAUCUCGGAAAUGGGGGACAGCAUAAGGAGUUCCAUUACUAAGGUGCUGCCGGACCUGUCUGCCUCAAUCCUUGAAAUUGUACUGGAGGAACUACAAUCAUUAGGAGUGGAGACAUCUGAGGACUUGCAGUUCAUCAGUGAGACUGAUCUGAACUCUGUCCUGAGACCAAUUCAGGCAAGAAAACUGCUGGCUGCCUGGAAACAAACCACACCAAAUACGGACAUUUCAAGCCAGGCCAGG